This 1016-nucleotide long non-coding RNA is filed under the name Homo sapiens (human). Its description in RNAcentral is "non-protein coding SPAG5-AS1:6". The record is from RNAcentral. Lineage: Eukaryota; Metazoa; Chordata; Mammalia; Primates; Hominidae.
UUCCAGCGGACCUCCUCACAUCCAUGGUGUUCAUAUCCAAGUUGUCUCCGUGGAUGGAGAAGAGGAAUCCUCUCCCUAGGUCUCCCUCAGUCCUCUCCAGCCGCAGCCUUGACGGGAAAGAGCCGGCCAGGGAGUCUAGAAGCCGAAGCGGUGCCGAGCGGCUUCCCUAGGCUUGGUGGGCCCGCGUCCGGGACGGCCCGGGCCGUGGUUCUCGACCUGGGCUGUAAUGUCUCCAGAGUUUCUGGGCUUUUCCUGGGACUUACUCAGGCCGGCUACCAGUUUACUGGGCUAACCGCCUACAUGUAUUGAACAUUGAGUGUGUGCCUGGCGCUAUGCCGAAUGCCGUGUAGUAGCUCAUUUAAUGCGCAUAAGGACCUACGUAGUGAGAAAUACUAUAAAUAUCCCCAUUUGUGACAGGAAGGAGCUGAGUCAGAGAGACCGUGUGUAAUUUGCUCAGCGUCACACAGAUAGUAAACGGCAGAGCCGCUCUUCCUCCCUGUCCCGCCAGCUCCUGCCUUCUGCUGUCUUGGAUCUCCUAUGCACGGGAAACCUGUUGAAGGUAGGACAGCCGAAAGGUCAGUAUUCAGAGUGAGCCGUUUGCGAAGGUGUGUGUGCUUUGCACACUCACGGCGCCCUGUUUACACUCUGCAAGUCUUAAUACAUAGGGGGAAAGCAGCAGUCCAAAGAGGAGGAACUAUGAUGUUAUAAACUGCAGCGUCCUCAGGGACGGGCUCCUCUAGCAUUGUGUUGUCCAGUACGUUAGCCCUAGCCAUAGUGGCUUUUGAGCACUUCAGAUGUGACUAGUCCCAGUGGGAAUGUGCUAUAAAUGUAAAACACUGUACAAACUGGAUUUCAAACACGUCGUAUGAAAAAAAGAAUGCAAAAUAUCGCCAGGUGCGGUGGCUCAUGCCUGUAAUCCCAGCACGGAGGAGACAGAGGCAGGAGGAUCCUUUAAGCCCAGGAGUUCGAGACCUGCCUCGGCAAUAUAGUGAGACCUAUGUCUACAAAAAAAAAAU